UUGCCCUAGUAACGGCGAGUGAAGCGGCAACAGCUCAAAUUUGAAAUCUGGCUCUUUCAGGGCCCGAGUUGUAAUUUGCAGAGGGCGCUUUGGCAUUGGCAGCGGUCCAAGUUCUUUGGAACAGGACGUCACAGAGGGUGAGAAUCCCGUACGUGGUCGCUAGCCUUUGCCGUGUAAAGCCCCUUCGACGAGUCGAGUUGUUUGGGAAUGCAGCUCUAAAUGGGAGGUAAAUUUCUUCUAAAGCUAAAUACUGGCCAGAGACCGAUAGCGCACAAGUAGAGUGAUCGAAAGAUGAAAAGCACUUUGGAAAGAGAGUCAAAUAGCACGUGAAAUUGUUGAAAGGGAAGCGCUUGCAGCCAGACUUGCCUGUAGUUGCUUAUCUGGACUUUUGUCCGGUGCACUCUUCUGCGGGCAGGCCAGCAUCAGUUUGGGCGGUUGGAUAAAGGUCUCUGUCAUGUACCUCUCUUCGGGGAGGCCUUAUAGGGGAGACGACAUGCAACCAGCCUGGACUGAGGUCCGCGCAUUUGCUAGGAUGCUGGCGUAAUGGCUGUAAGCGGCCCGUCUUGAAACACGGACCAAGGAGUCUAACAUCUAUGCGAGUGUUUGGGUGUCAAGCCCAGACGCGUAAUGAAAGUGAACGGAGGUGGGAACCCUUUGGGUGCACCAUCGACCGAUCCUGAUGUCUUCGGAUGGAUUUGAGUAAGAGCAUGGCUGUUGGGACCCGAAAGAUGGUGAACUAUGCUUGAAUAGGGUGAAGCCAGAGGAAACUCUGGUGGAGGCUCGCAGCGGUUCUGACGUGCAAAUCGAUCGUCAAAUUU
This 818-nucleotide ribosomal RNA is filed under the name Leptospora chromolaenae. Its description in RNAcentral is "partial large subunit ribosomal RNA". It matches the Rfam family "Eukaryotic large subunit ribosomal RNA", at positions 75 to 912 of the family's 3401-position model. Lineage: Eukaryota; Fungi; Ascomycota; Dothideomycetes. The record is from RNAcentral.